This 442-nucleotide ribosomal RNA is filed under the name uncultured bacterium. Its description in RNAcentral is "partial 16S ribosomal RNA". It matches the Rfam family "Bacterial small subunit ribosomal RNA", at positions 338 to 795 of the family's 1533-position model. The record is from RNAcentral.
CCUACGGGUGGCAGCAGUAGGGAAUCUUUCACAAUGGGCGAAAGCCUGAUGGAGCAACGCCGCGUGCAGGAUGAAGGCCUUCGGGUUGUAAACUGCUUUUAUAAGCGAGAAAUAUGAUGGUAACUUAUGAAUAAGGAUCGGCUAACUCCGUGCCAGCAGCCGCGGUCAUACGUAGGAUCCGAGCAUUAUCCGGAGUGACUGGGUGUAAAGAGUUGCGUAGGUGGCAUAAUAAGUAGCUAGUGAAAUCUGGUGGCUCAACCAUUCAGACUAUUAGCGAAACUGUUAAGCUCGAGACCGUUAGGGGUAACUGGAAUUUCUAGUGUAGGAGUGAAAUCCGUAGAUAUUAGAAGGAACACCAAUAGCGUAGGCAGGUUGCUGGGACGGUUCUGACACUAAGGCACGAAAGCGUAGGGAGCAAACGGGAUUAGAUACCCGUGUAGUC